CCUGUGAGGCAUGCUGGAGGUAUCAGAAGUGCGAAUGCUGACAUAAGUAACGAUAAAGCGGGUGAAAAGCCCGCUCGCCGGAAGACCAAGGGUUCCUGUCCAACGUUAAUCGGGGCAGGGUGAGUCGACCCCUAAGGCGAGGCCGAAAGGCGUAGUCGAUGGGAAACGGGUUAAUAUUCCCGUACUUGGUGUUACUGCGAAGGGGGGACGGAGAAGGCUAUGUUGGCCGGGCGACGGUUGUCCCGGUUUAAGCGUGUAGGUGUGUGUUCCAGGUAAAUCCGGUUCACUUUAACACUGAGGCGUGACGACGAGGCACUACGGUGCUGAAGCAACAAAUGCCCUGCUUCCAGGAAAAGCCUCUAAGCAUCAGGUAACACGAAAUCGUACCCCAAACCGACACAGGUGGUCAGGUAGAGAAUACCAAGGCGCUUGAGAGAACUCGGGUGAAGGAACUAGGCAAAAUGGUGCCGUAACUUCGGGAGAAGGCACGCUGACACGUAGGUGAAGUGAUUUACUCAUGGAGCUGAAGUCAGUCGAAGAUACCAGCUGGCUGCAACUGUUUAUUAAAAACACAGCACUGUGCAAACACGAAAGUGGACGUAUACGGUGUGACGCCUGCCCGGUGCCGGAAGGUUAAUUGAUGGGGUCAGCGCAAGCGAAGCUCCUGAUCGAAGCCCCGGUAAACGGCGGCCGUAACUAUAACGGUCCUAAGGUAGCGAAAUUCCUUGUCGGGUAAGUUCCGACCUGCACGAAUGGCGUAAUGAUGGCCAGGCUGUCUCCACCCGAGACUCAGUGAAAUUGAACUCGCUGUGAAGAUGCAGUGUACCCGCGGCAAGACGGAAAGACCCCGUGAACCUUUACUAUAGCUUGACACUGAACAUUGAGCCUUGAUGUGUAGGAUAGGUGGGAGGCUUUGAAGUGUGGACGCCAGUCUGCAUGGAGCCGACCUUGAAAUACCACCCUUUAAUGUUUGAUGUUCUAACGUGGACCCGUAAUCCGGGUUGCGGACAGUGUCUGGUGGGUAGUUUGACUGGGGCGGUCUCCUCCUAAAGAGUAACGGAGGAGCACGAAGGUUGGCUAAUCCUGGUCGGACAUCAGGAGGUUAGUGCAAUGGCAUAAGCCAGCUUGACUGCGAGCGUGACGGCGCGAGCAGGUGCGAAAGCAGGUCAUAGUGAUCCGGUGGUUCUGAAUGGAAGGGCCAUCGCUCAACGGAUAAAAGGUACUCCGGGGAUAACAGGCUGAUACCGCCCAAGAGUUCAUAUCGACGGCGGUGUUUGGCACCUCGAUGUCGGCUCAUCACAUCCUGGGGCUGAAGUAGGUCCCAAGGGUAUGGCUGUUCGCCAUUUAAAGUGGUACGCGAGCUGGGUUUAGAACGUCGUGAGACAGUUCGGUCCCUAUCUGCCGUGGGCGCUGGAGAACUGAGGGGGGCUGCUCCUAGUACGAGAGGACCGGAGUGGACGCAUCACUGGUGUUCGGGUUGUCAUGCCAAUGGCACUGCCCGGUAGCUAAAUGCGGAAGAGAUAAGUGCUGAAAGCAUCUAAGCACGAAACUUGCCCCGAGAUGAGUUCUCCCUGAGACUUAGAGUCUCCUGAAGGAACGUUGAAGACGACGACGUUGAUAGGCCGGGUGUGUAAGCGCAGCGAUGCGUUGAGCUAACCGGUACUAAU
RNAcentral lists this ribosomal RNA (1667 nucleotides) under Salmonella enterica subsp. enterica serovar 4,12:i:-. RNAcentral describes it as "partial 23S ribosomal RNA". It matches the Rfam family "Bacterial large subunit ribosomal RNA", at positions 1260 to 2905 of the family's 2925-position model. Lineage: Bacteria; Pseudomonadati; Pseudomonadota; Gammaproteobacteria; Enterobacterales; Enterobacteriaceae. The record is from RNAcentral.